AGCAGUUAUAAUUCAUUUGAUGGUUGCUCUUACAUGGAUAACUGUGGCAAUUCUAGAACUAAUACAUGCAUCAAAAUCCCACUUCUUGGAAGGGUUGUGAUUAUUAGAUACAGAACCAACACAGGCACUGCCUGGUUGCCAGCUGACUCACAGUACCAUCAUGAAUCAUGUGGCAUCUGCCGAUGAUGCAUCAUUCAAGUUUCUGACCUAUCAGCUUCCAACGGUAAGGUAUUGGCUUACCGUGGCUAUGACGGGUAACGGAGAAUUAGGGUUUGAUUCCGGAGAGGGAGCCUGAGAAAUGGCUACCACAUCUAAGGAAGGCAGCAGGCGCGUAAAUUACCCAAUCCUGACAUAGGGAGGUAGUGACAAAAAAUAACAAUACAGGGCAUCCAUGUCUUGUAAUUGGAAUGAAUAUAAUCCAAACCCCUUUGUGAGUAUCAAUUGGAGGGCAAGUCUGGUGCCACCAGCCGCGGUAAUUCCAGCUCCACUAGCGUAUAAUAAAGUUGUUGCGGUUAAAAAGCUCGUA
Molecule: ribosomal RNA, 526 nt
Filed under: uncultured eukaryote
Lineage: Eukaryota
Description: SSU rRNA
Rfam family: Eukaryotic small subunit ribosomal RNA
Source: RNAcentral